AUGUCCAUCAAACUUUGGGCCAUUACAUCAGCAUUAUGGCUCUUUUACAGCUUACCAGUCUAUGAAAAUAGCAAUUCCAGUGCAGAUGCUGAAGGCAGUAUCUCAAUUCAAAAGGUACUGCUGCGCCUUACAAGCCAAAAAAAAUUAAGCUUGUCAAAAAUUGGAUUGGUGCUUAGCUGCCUUUUUUCUUAUUUCCGUACCAGUCCUUUGAAUUCUGUUAGGCCGGUAAAGAGAGCAGGAAGCAGAUCCAUCUGUGAAGUCUUCAACUUUCACCUCCAUAUCCGGAGCAUGAAGCGUCGCUUGCUUCUGUUGGACCUGGACCCUCUCAGAGUGUGA
RNAcentral lists this ribosomal RNA (336 nucleotides) under Triticum aestivum (bread wheat). Its description in RNAcentral is "partial small subunit ribosomal RNA". The record is from RNAcentral. Lineage: Eukaryota; Viridiplantae; Streptophyta; Magnoliopsida; Poales; Poaceae.